CUAAAGAAACAAAAUAAGGACUAAGGACUAUAUGUUACAAUUUUGCAUCACUUAGAUGAUGGGAGCAUCCUGUGAGAGUAGGUCAUGCCAUAGUCACCACUGGCUCAGGCAAUAAAGGCUUUCCAGUCCUUGAGCCGCCACCAGCCAUGACUGAAAGUUUGGGGAGGUGAUCCGGAAAUGAGCCCAUGAGAGCCUCCCUGGGAUGUUUAAUCUUGCAAAUUGUGAAGAAAAAUGAUGUGGCUCUUUCCCUGUUGUUUGUUUGAUUUUUUUUUUUAAAAGAAAACUGUCAUGCUGACUUACUGAUAUGAAUGCAGAGAUUGUUGUGGACAGGUCUCUUGUGCCUUGUACCAAACUAAGAGAAGGACUGGCUUGCUAAACAUUUAAGUAGAUUUAUAAAAUCAUCAUUUGUAAAGGGGACUGUUCAGAAAUUGUUUACUAGACUUCAGUCACAGAGUUUACCAUAUAUGAUGUUAUCUAAUAACAAAAAUGAGCUUAUUUGUCCUUCUUAAUAGUGAACCGAUUUACUAGGAGUAGAAUAAAUUGUUAAAGACAUUACAGGAAAUACACUUGAAAGCCUAACCUUUGAAAUGACAGUUCAUUGAUGACCUUUAUUUCUUCAGCAUUUCUUAAGAAUCUUUCUUGUUCAAUUCCUGCAAAUUAAUGUUACUUAAAGGCAUUUAAGGAAUGUCUUUGCAUAUAUUAUCAGAGGCUCUUGAAAGCCAUCUUUCUAACUUGAAAAUAAUUUUCAUUUUGGAAUCCCUGACUCUCUCUCUCAGGGGCUUCCUAGGAUAUUUAAGGUGAUAUUUUUUAACCCAGUACCUCUUAAACUUGUUAGCCAUUUCCAGCUUCCGAGUUGUGAUUUGUGGUUGUUGUUUUGUUUUCCUUUUUUAAAUGUUUUUUUAAACCUGGUCAAUGUUGAGUGUUGUCAUGUGUUUUUAACAAAAGCGCCUUUCUGUUUCUAUUGUCUGCUUGGAGGCUGAGGUAUGGCCAUUUCUCGUUCUGCUGAUUCACGGAAGAUGUUGAUCAGAACUGAAGCUAGGAGCCACACCACCAGGUCCUUUGAUGCCUAGGAACCCUCAGUGGCCAUGUCAGGGAGUUCCUGCUCAAGCCAGGGUGGCUUAGCCCAGGAUAACAGUAGAUUCUGAGAUGGGUGAGAAUUGUUCCACACGUGGCCACAGUCAUUCCUCUGGCAUAAUGGACUUGGGUUCAGGAGGUCUGUCUCUCUUCAAGGAUCAUGAGCUGAAAUUGCUAAACUUUGGGAGUUUUCAGUGACACCCUUCAAAGUGCUCACGGUGUGGUAUGGAUCAACUGAAGACGGCGAACGUGUUUUUUCCCUGUGGGACAUCUGUCUGUGUAACUUUCUCCGAGCUAGGCCACAAGGGGCGCUUAGGCCCGCAGAUGCCUAUUGUGAUUGGUUGAUGAGAUGCCAAGCAACGGGACCAUCCAGUCACCUUCAACGCAAGUAGGUUUGCUGAGAGGCUCCCUGCGUGACACUUCAUCCAAUCAGACGUGAAGCUGGCCCGAGGCGUGGAGCCAUGCUGCGUACCCAAAUGCCCCCACUUCCCCGAUCCACAACCGCCAUUGUCUGGUCCUGCCGUCUGAUGGCUGCUGCCUCCGCCAUGGCUGAAGCUUCCUCUGAGACGACCUCUGAGGAACAGCUGAUCACCCAGGAGCCCAAAGAGGCCAACUCUACGAUGGCCCAGAAGCAGAGCAAGCAGAGGAAGCGAGGGUGCCGUGGGCCCCGCAGGUGCCACGCCGACUGCCGCGGGGACAGCUUCGCCACCUAUUUCCGCCGGGUGCUGAAGAAAGUUCACCAGGGCCUCAGCCUUUCCCGGGAGGCUGUGAGUGUCAUGGAUUCUUUGGUUCAUGACAUAUUGGACCGCAUUGCCACCGAGGCUGGUCGCCUGGCCCGCUCCACCAAGCGCCAGACCAUCACCGCCUGGGAGACCCGGAUCGCUGUGCGCCUGCUGCUGCCGGGGGAGAUGGGCAAGCUGGCAGAGUCCGAAGGCACGAAGGCUGUCCUCAGGUACACCAGGAGCAAGUUUGCUCCCUCAGGAGUGCCCGAGUACCACGGAAACCCAAAGAGUCUUUUCAGAGCCACCCAACAUAGCCCAAAAGACCAGUGGCUUGCUAAGGGAGGGACCCCACUGGAGGUUGGGGCGGGUGGUGCCCUUCUGACUUGGGGGCCAUGUGGCAUGUGACAUCCUGCGAUUUUUCAAGCAUUUUUACCUCAGUACUAAAAAUUGUCAACUCCAAAAUAUCUGUAGUGCAAUUUGCUCCAAGAAAAGUAGCUGGUGUUUCUGUGAUUGCAUUUCAUUUCCUCAGUUUCCUAAAUGGUCAUUUUUAUUAGUUUUGUUUGUAGGUUAUCUUCAUGGUGAUAUUAUUAUUGCAUUGAUCUUUACGUUUUUCUCUCUCAUUCUCCUGUGACUGGAUGGUGAAAUUUUCCAGAACUUCACUAUAUGCCAUACAGCAACAGAGAAAAUGAAUAUGCUGAUACAGGAAGCAAGAAUAUUAGAAAAAUGUUAUGAAAAUAGUUGAAGAGAAAUGCUGACUGCACAAGGAGACCAAGAAAAAAACCCCCAGGAAAUCAGCCACAACUAAAUCGCUCUGGACAGUGCUGCCAGGUCGUCCUACAUGUUCGAAGCAACACUUUGAAAACCAAAGACGCUUGGCAGAACCCUGUUCCUUUGCAGAGACAGAGCUGUGUACCUGGUCCAAAGUACCACAUCUCACCCAGUGACUUACUUCUCAUUAUGCUAAUUGUUUUGCUUUAAAGCGCCAAUCUUUCUGUCAAAUGGGACAUACCAAUAAAUUUCUAAA
Non-coding RNA from Macaca mulatta (Rhesus monkey), 2820 nucleotides. The record is from RefSeq and is a predicted model, not a curated record. Lineage: Eukaryota; Metazoa; Chordata; Mammalia; Primates; Cercopithecidae.